This 24-nucleotide non-coding RNA is filed under the name Arabidopsis thaliana (thale cress). Lineage: Eukaryota; Viridiplantae; Streptophyta; Magnoliopsida; Brassicales; Brassicaceae. The record is from RNAcentral.
UCAAAGCUCUAGAUUGUCUUCUUC